AUUAAUGCUAGCUGUGCGCCUAACACAUGCAAGUCGAACGAGAUCACGCAAUGAGCUUGCUUAUAGCGUGUGACAGUGGCAGACGGGUGAGUAACACGUCGGAAUCUACCCCAUAUUCAGGGAUAAGCUCGAGAAAUCGGGUCUAAUACCGGAUGGUCCCGCAAGGGUAAAGCUUCGGCGAUAUGGGAAGAGCCUGCGCAUUAUCAGCUUGUUGGUGAGGUAAAAGCUCACCAAGGCUAUGACGAUUAGUUGGUCUGAGAGGACGACCAGCCACAAUGGAACUGAGACAAGGUCCAUACUCCUACGGGAGGCAGCAGUGAGGAAUUUUCCGCAAUGGCCUAUUGGCUGACGGAGCGACACAGUGUGAAGGAUGAAGGUUUUCGGAUCGUAAACUUCUUUUCUGAGGGAAUAAAGUUUGAAGUUACCUCAGGAAUAAGCACCGGCUAACUACGU
Molecule: ribosomal RNA, 453 nt
Filed under: uncultured bacterium
Lineage: Bacteria
Description: bacterial SSU rRNA
Rfam family: Bacterial small subunit ribosomal RNA
Source: RNAcentral